GCCUGGGUGGCUCAGUCAGUUAAGCAUCUGACUUCAGCUCAGGUCACGAUCUCGCGGUCCGUGAGUUCGAGCCCCGCAUCAGGCU
This 85-nucleotide transfer RNA is filed under the name Felis catus (domestic cat). It matches the Rfam family "tRNA". Rfam says of the family: Transfer RNA (tRNA) molecules are approximately 80 nucleotides in length. Their secondary structure includes four short double-helical elements and three loops (D, anti-codon, and T loops). The record is from Rfam by way of RNAcentral. Lineage: Eukaryota; Metazoa; Chordata; Mammalia; Carnivora; Felidae.